RNAcentral lists this ribosomal RNA (509 nucleotides) under uncultured Glomeromycotina. RNAcentral's name for it is "partial small subunit ribosomal RNA". It matches the Rfam family "Eukaryotic small subunit ribosomal RNA", at positions 591 to 1092 of the family's 1831-position model. The record is from RNAcentral. Lineage: Eukaryota; Fungi; Glomeromycota.
CCAAUAGCGUAUAUUAAGGUUGCUGCGGUUAAAAAGCUCGUAGUUGAAUUUCGGGAUUGAUGCAUCGGUCGUGCCUUAAGGGGUAUGAACUGGUGUGGUCAAUUUCUUACCUUCUGGUGAAUUGUGAUGUCCUCCUUAAUUGGGUGUUUCAAUGAACUAGGACUUUUUACUUUGAAAAAAUUAGAGUGUUUAAAGCAGGCAUUAUUUGCUUGAAUACAUUAGCAUGGAAUAAUAAAAUAGGACAAUGAUUCUAUUUUGUUGGUUUCUAGGAUCACUGUAAUGAUUAAUAGGGAUAGAUGGGGGCAUUAGUAUUCAAUUGUCAGAGGUGAAAUUCUUGGAUCAAUUGAAGACUAACUACUGCGAAAGCAUUUGCCAAGGAUAUUUUCAUUAAUCAAGAACGAAAGUUAGGGGAUCGAAGACGAUUAGGUACGUCGUAGUCUUAACCAUAAACUAUGCCGACUAGGAAUCAGACAACGUUAAAUUUUUAAUGACUUGUUUGGCACCUUACG